RNAcentral lists this ribosomal RNA (307 nucleotides) under uncultured bacterium. Its description in RNAcentral is "bacterial SSU rRNA". It matches the Rfam family "Bacterial small subunit ribosomal RNA", at positions 28 to 334 of the family's 1533-position model. The record is from RNAcentral.
GACGAACGCUGGCGGCGUGCCUAACACAUGCAAGUCGAACGGAGCAGAUCCCUUCGGGGGUUUGCUCAGUGGCGAACGGGUGAGUAACGCGUGAGGAACCUGCCUUUCAGUGGGGGACAACAGUUGGAAACGACUGCUAAUACCGCAUAAUGCUUUUGAGCGGCAUCGCUUGAAAGCCAAAGAUUUAUCGCUGAAAGAUGGUCUCGCGCCUGAUUAGCUAGUUGGUGAGGUAACGGCUCACCAAAGCGACGAUCAGUAGCCGGCCUGAGAGGGCGACCGGCCACAUUGGGACUGAGACACGGCCCAA